Molecule: ribosomal RNA, 460 nt
Filed under: uncultured bacterium
Lineage: Bacteria
Description: partial 16S ribosomal RNA
Rfam family: Bacterial small subunit ribosomal RNA
Source: RNAcentral
CCUACGGGGAGCAGCAGUGAGGAAUAUUGGUCAAUGGACGCAAGUCUGAACCAGCCAUGCCGCGUGCAGGAAGACGGCUCUAUGAGUUGUAAACUGCUUUUGUACGAGGGUAAACACCGAUACGCGUAUCUUUCUGCAAGUAUCGUACGAAUAAGGAUCGGCUAACUCCGUGCCAGCAGCCGCGGUAAUUCGGAGGAUUCAAGCGUUCUCCGGAUUUAUUGGGUUUAAAGGGUGCGUAGGCGGUCGGAUAAGUUAGAGGUGAAAUCCCGAGGCUCAACUUCGGAAUUGCCUCUGAUACUGGGGGGAUAGAGAGUGGUAGAGGUAGGCGGAAUGUAUGGUGUAGCGGGGAAAUGCUUAGAGAUCAUACAGAACACCGAUUGCGAAGGCAGCUUACCAGGCUACUUCUGACGUUGAGGCACGAAAGCGUGGGGAGCAAACAGGAUUAGAUACCCUAGUAGUC